RNAcentral lists this long non-coding RNA (36365 nucleotides) under Zea mays. Its description in RNAcentral is "long non-coding RNA (ZMAY_LNC004618)". Lineage: Eukaryota; Viridiplantae; Streptophyta; Magnoliopsida; Poales; Poaceae. The record is from RNAcentral.
AUUAUAUGUAUUAUUACAAGGCACAAUGGCACAUACAUACAGUGAUACAGCUGCAAUAUACAUGAACACCCUUUGUCUCGCUCCUGCUUUAUCUAUGCAACUGCUGGCAUGCAUGCAAAAGACGCCUCGGGAGAUAAGACCCCUGUUAUUCUGCUAGUACGUAUGCAUGCAUGUGCACGAUCGAUGGGCGCGAUGGUCAUAUCAUCCGUUGGUUCAGUAGUAGGGCUGGAUCUUCCAGCGCUGGUUGUCGCCCUCGCACCACUUCCAGAGCACGACGUCGGUGCCGUCACGGACGCCGCCGUGCCACUUGUCGCCGUGGAGGGCGUCGAAGUUGAGGUAGAUGUUGUUGACCAUGCGGACGCAGCGGAAGCCGUUGCCGACGUCGCGGCUCUCCGUCCACAGCACCGACUCGUCCAAAAAGUCCGGGUUGUAGGGCACCAGGCGCACCGGGUGGGACUGCCCCAGCGAGUGCUUGAUGGCCUCCCCGGUCGCCUUGUUCACCAGCGCGAACGCCGGGUAACCUUCCUCGUCCUUGAUGCUCGUGCUCCACCGCAUGUCCUUGAUCCAGUGCUGGUACUCGUCCUUGGGGUUCGCCGGCGCCAGCACCACCUUCCCGUCGCGGACGCUCAUGGCGUAGUUGGGGUUGGCGCGGCAGUACACCUUCACGGUCGGCUGCGGCGGCAGCGCCCGCCCGCACCCGUUGCCCUCGAUGUUCACCUGCGACAUCCCGUACGGGACCGCCGGAGCGUACCCCGGCGUCGCGAUGCCACCGCCGCCGUAGUACCCGCCGCUGUAGCGCUGAUCGCGGCCGCCGUAGUAUCCGCCGUCCAUGACGAUGGUGCCUUUGUUCGCCGCCUGCUUUUCAACCUCACUCACCUCGAUCAACUACUCCUCUGGCGACUGAUGAGCGAUCGAGAGGCCCUGACGCAGACAAUGCAACGGCCGGGCCGGCAGAUUUAUAGGGCGCUGCCGGUUGCUCCCGGCGUCCCCAGCUGCCCCACUGGUGGUGCAUGUACGUGGUGGCGUUAGCAUCACGCUGCGCGAGGUGGUGGGUAGGCAUCGCAUCGUCAGUGGAUGGAUGGUUGUGCGCGCAUGGGCAGGAAGGACGAUGCCAUGCGAAACUAGCCGAGGGAAAAAGCGAUUCGGUUUCUAGUCGUUCUUGGAAGAAGAAUCCUUAGCAUCUCCAGCAGUAGGAGAAAAAACCAACACAAAGUCUAGUUAUUGGUUAAGAUUAAUCGAUAGCUUGGAAACUUAAAUUCUCGUUAGGAUUAAAGGAGAUUGAGAGAAAAAUUAGUUUAUUUAUUCCCUAAUUCACUUCGAUCCUGGAGAGGAUUCGAGUUUUCAAACUAGCCACAAAAGAGUGUUUUGAAAUUUCAAAGUUGUUCGUUCUCUCCAGCAAAACGAGAAAAUUCCAUGCCCAAUGAGAAAUUAAGGAGCUGUUAUGUCUGAUUUUAAAGGUUCGUUUAGGCGGUGAACAAUAACAAUUAGAUCUUAAAACCAACCAUCCUGAAAACCAGCAUUAUACAUUACCUUUUCUUUCUCUUAACUCAUCUCUCAAUUAUUUAUUUUAGGCAUAUGUAGUGUAGAAAAUGUGAAGAAAAAAACGGUUAAUUGGGGAGGAGAGUUCUCCCCUUUAUUUGAGUGGCUGAGAAAAACAAUCUCAUUAAAGGUUUAGGGGCAUGAAGCUACAAAAUCUAUAUCUCUAUCAUCUAUUAAGAUGAUAGUGUGAUCACAGGUGUAACCAUGCUUCCUUCUGACGCCUAUAGAAAAAUAGUCCAAAAUUAUUACACGGAGAGGGGGAUGAAACCCGUGCGCCUUGGUAAAGGCAGCAGACACUGGCAAUGCUCUGCUACCCACUUAAGCCCAAUCAAGUUUGUGUCUAAUAGUCAAUAGGUGUUAUAAAUAUGUGUAGGCUGAGUUUUCAAAAUAAUAAAAAAUAAUAAUGUCAAGCCAGACUGGCACUACGGGUCGAGACAGCGGCCCAAGCAUGGCACGCCUCUCGUGCCCCUUAUUUUAAUAAUGUCAGGUUGGGCCACGACACUAUUAAAUGGUUCGUGCUUUAGCCCGGUGUUGGUGACUUGUUCUCAAAUGCUAUGAAUUAAGAACAAGGCAACAUAAAAUGUUAAAUAUUAAUGCCCUUCGUCUGCUGAAGCAUUAUCUCCCCAAGGAUUUAAUGAACUUCGGACGAAGGCCAUGAGCAAAAUAUCACGAAGGUCACACCUUCGUGAUCAGACUUAUAAAACAAUGUAAAAUAAAAUAUAAAACAUUAGAGAAAGAUGUACCAAAAACAGAUAACAUUAUUCACAUAUUUUAUUAUAUGGACCUAAAUAUUAAAACAUGAUAUUUAGGUACAUUUAUACCUUCGUCUUGGCAGAAAGCAAUAAUUUCAACGUAAUGUGCCAGCGAUUACAAGAUUGCGUGAACAGUACAUGGGUACUGUUCACCUAUUUAUAGGCACAGGGCGCAUCCUGUGUAAAAUUACAUUUAUGCUAUUUACAAUCGAUUACAAUAAUGACACAAAACACCAUGGGUCUUUAAGUCAUUUCAUCUUUAAGUCGGUUCACCCCUUCGUCUUGAGAUCUGUCAUUGUGCCGAAGCUUAUAGGUGAUAGCUUCGUCGCUACUCCUGAUAGGAUCUGCCGAAGGUGUUCUCUUUCUUUAGGAUCUUCGGCUACGGAGCAUACCCCCAACACCCGGUCCAAUAGGUGCGACCCAUUUGGCUAUCUAUAUCGCGCCCUCCCUCCACUCCAUCGUCAGUCGCAAGACCAUCCCAUGUUCCACGCACCGCUGCACAACCCGCGCUCCUCGCCUCUUUCGCGUCGCCGCCAAACGCCCACCAUCCUCGUCUCCCUCCACUCCGGCCCCUUCCUGCGCCUGCCCCCACAUGUUGCCCCUGCCUUCCCGGCCCCAUGUCCUAUCGCGAUAGACCCCCCUUGGUCCCCUCCAUCACCUUCGCCCAUCGCCUCCUCCUCAACGCUCGCGCCUCCUGCAAGGAUCUCUAGGGGCUCAUGGCCAACGUCGAGACACUCGAGACUCCAUCCAGGGCCAUGACAGGUUGUCUUAUCCAUACGCGCGCUACUGCCACGAGGUGGAUGAGGAGCUCAUGCGCAACAUGAUCUAGGUCAACGUCGAGGGUGUAAUGCGGGUCACGCACGCUGUGCUGCCAGACAUGGUCGAGACUCAAAAGGAAGUGCGAUGCCAUUGUCAACAUCGACUUCCGUGCCAUCUCUGACGUGCCUUCCUAUUUGCUCUAUUUUGUCUACGCCGCCACCAAAGCAACAAUACUAAUAAGAGUUUUUCUCGCAUCUAUCUAGCUAAAUGGAUAAGGGUUUGUUCGUUUGAGCUAGAAUUCACCCUAGAAUUGUUCCAGUUGAUCAAACUCUAUAUAAUUUAGACAAAUAAUCUAGCUAGAAAUAGUUACGGGUGACCAUUGCUUCAGAACCGAACAUGCCCUAAAGAUAUAUGUAGGCAUACCAUAAAAUCAAAAAAGCUAUAGACAUUCCAUAACGGCUACGCAUUUUAAGGACAUGAAACACAGGUGCCCAAACAAUAUAGAACAACAAUGCACAAUUUCAUUAUUAUGGAUCCACUUCGCAAGUAAAUUAGAAGAAUCCACGCAUCAUAUUUGGAUAAAAAUUCCUUAAGUUCAUCAUCUGUGCAUAUGUCCCAAAUUUGCAAUAAAGCUAGUAAAGCAAGAUGAUAUAUCGCUUGAAGACUUGUCUCGUCCAUCCUACACCAAACAUACCAUACUAUCAAGGUUUAUACAUGUCGAGCAAGAUUUAAAUAAGAAACAUCGGCUAACUAAUCUUUUUGAAUUUCAAUAUAUCUUAUCAUAACAUGUUCACUCCAUAGCAACGCACAGGUGUUUAUCUAAUAGUAAUAAUAAUCCAAAAAACACUACAAUAUAGAGGGUACUCGAGACGAUGUAUAUUAUUAUUACAUAAGGGAUGUUUGGGAUGGCUCUAAAUUCCAGCUCCAGUGUGGAGUUGUAGUUUAUAAUGUGAAUUUAAAUAGUUUUAAAAACAUUUUAAUAUAAAUAAUAAUAAAAAUUAAUUAUUAUCUAAAUGUCUUAUAAAUGUUUAUAACUUCAGCUCCAUGAUUUUUUUGGAGCACCUAAUGAUCCGCUCCACUAACUCCAUUAAAUUUUCUAAAGCUAGAGCUGUCCCAAACAUGGUCGUAGUAAUAGUGUUGGCUCUGAUUCAGGGCUAGACAUUGAGGGUGUACCGCUUGGUGGUGCCCUCUACGACGACGCGACGGUCCACGACCUCGCUGCAGGAGCGGCUCCUUCCCUGCGUCGGUCCAGAUGGCCUGCGAUGGCACAUGGUUGUCUUCCUCUAGGGUUGGCAGGCCACCCGAGGUGUCUCUAGACGACCUAGAGUCGUCUACAGAUUAAGAAAUCUAGUCGAGGAAAAGUAUCUUGAAUGAACUGGCUCUUGCUCCCUGGAAGGGGUAGGAUCCUAGGGUCGUCUUGGGGUCGACAUGCCACUCAAGACAGAUUUAGACGACGUAGAGUCUAAUAGGGGUUGAGGUGGAUAUGUGGAAAGCUACAACUAGAACUACAGUACAUCAACUUUUAGGGCAGGAAUGAUAAACAAAGUAAUAGAUUGGUUCGAUUGGAAUGUUGAAAGGGAAUUAGGCUUACACCUAGUCCCUAAUUAUUUUUGGUGGUUGAAUUGCCCAACACAAAUUUAUUGGCCUAACUAGUUUGCCCAAGUGUAUAGAUUAUACAGGUAUAAAAGGUUCACUCUCAGCCAAUAAAAAGACCAAGUUUUGGAUUCAACAAAGGAGCAAAGUGGCAACCGAAGGCCCUCUGGUCUGGGAGCACCGGACUGUCCGGUGUACACCGGACAGUGUCCGGUGCACCACCGGACAGUGUCCGGUGCACCAGAGGACUCCAACGCAAACUCGCCACCUUCGGGAAUUUCCAGAGGCGACUCCGCUAUAAUUCACCGGACUGUCCGGUGUACACCGGACAGUGUCCGGUGCGCCAAGUAGGAGCGGCCUCAGGAACUCGCCAGCUUCGGGAAACGCCAACGGCUAGUCCGCUAAAAUUCACCGGACUGUCCGGUGUGCACCGGACUGUCCGGUGCGACUCCGGAGCAACGGCUAUCUCCGCGCCAACGGCUCUCUGCCGCGCAUUAAAUGCGCGCACAGCGCGCGCAGAAGUCAAGCGCGCCCAUACUGGCACACCGGACAAGGAACAGUGCAUGUCCGGUGUGCACCGGACACCCAGGCGGGCCCACAAGUCAGAAGCUCCAACGGUCAGAAUCCAACGGCAGUGAUGACGUGGCAGGGGGCACCGGACUGUCCGGUGUGCACCGGACUGUCCGGUGCGCCAUCGAACAGACAGUCUUCCAACGGCCACAUUUGGUGGUUGGGGCUAUAAAUACCCUAACCACCCCACCAUUCAUGGCAUCCAAGUUUUCCACUUCCCAACUACUACAAGAGCUCUAGCAUUCAAUUCUAGACACACCAAAAGAGAUCAAAUCCUCUCCAAUUCCACAAAAGGCUUUAGCGAUUAGAGAGAGAGAUUUGCCGUGUUACUUUUGGGCUCUUGCGCUUGGAUUGCUUCUUUUCUUUCUCACUUGUUCUUAUGAUCAAAGUUCCAUUGUAAUCAAGGCAAGAGGCACCAAUUGUGUGGUGGCCCUUGCGGGGAAGUUUUGUUCCCGGCUUUGAUUUGAGAAGAGAAGCUCACUCGGUCCGAGGGACCGUUUGAGAGAGGGAAGGGUUGAAAGAGACCCGGCCUUUGUGGCCUCCUCAACGGGGAGUAGGUUUGCGAGAACCGAACCUCGGUAAAACAAAUCCGCGUGUCACACUCUUCAUUUGCUUGAGAUUUGUUUUGCGCCCUCUCUCGCGGACUCAUUUAUAUUUCUAACGCUAACCCGGCUUGUAGUUGUGUCUAUAUUUGUAAAUUUUAGUUUCGCCCUAUUCACCCCCCCUCUAGGCGACUAUCAAUUGGUAUCAAAGCCCGGUGCUUCAUUAGAGCCUAACCGCUCGAAGUGAUGUCGGGAGAUCACGCCAAGAAGGAGAUGGAGACCGGCGAAAAGCCCACUACAAGCAACGGGAGCACUUCAUCGGAAGAGUCCCGCACCAAACGGAGGGAGAAGAAAAAGAGCUCCUCCAACAAAGGGAAGGAGAAGAAAUCUUCUUCUCACCACAAAGAGAAGAAGGAAAAAUCUUCUUCCCACAAGCCGCAUCGGAGUGGGGACAAACAAAAGAGGAUGAGGAAAGUGGUCUACUACGAGACCGACACUUCAUCAACAUCAACCUCCGGCUCCGACGCGCCCUCCGUAACUUCUAAACGCCAAGAGCGUAAGAAGUUUAGUAAGAUCCCCCUACACUACCCUCGCAUUUCUAAACAUGCACCUUUACUUUCCGUCCCAUUAGGCAAACCACCAACUUUUGAUGGUGAAGAUUAUGCUAGGUGGAGUGAUUUAAUGCGAUUUCAUCUAACCUCACUCCACAAAAGUAUAUAGGAUGUUGUUGAGUUUGGUGCACAGGUACCAUCGGUAGGGGACAAAAAUUAUGAUGAGGAUGAGGUGGCCCAAAUCGAGCACUUCAAUUCUCAAGCGACAACGAUACUCCUCGCCUCUUUAAGUAGAGAGGAGUAUAACAAAGUACAAGGGUUGAAAAGCGCCAAGGAGGUUUGGGAUGUGCUCAAAACCGCGCACGAGGGAGAUGAGCUCACCAAGAUCACCAAGAGGGAAACGAUCGAGGGGGAGCUCGGUCGGUUCCGGCUUCGCAAAGGGGAGGAGCCACAACACAUGUACAACCGGCUCAAGACCUUGGUGAACCAAGUGCGCAACCUCGGGAGCAUAAAGUGGGACGACCACGAGGUGGUUAAGGUUAUUCUAAGAUCUCUUAUUUUCCUUAACCCCACUCAAGUUCAAUUAAUUCGUGGUAAUCCUAGAUAUACUAAAAUGACCCCCGAGGAAGUUAUCGGGCACUUUGUAAGUUUUGAGUGCAUGAUCGAAGGCUCGAGAAAGAUCAACGAGCUUGACGAACCCACCACAUCCGAAGCUCAACCCGUCGCAUUCAAGGCAACGGAAGAAAAGAAGGAGGAGGCUACACCAAGUCGACAACCAAUAGACGCCUCCAAGCUCGACAAUGAGGAAAUGGCGCUCGUCAUCAAGAGCUUCCGCCAAAUCCUCAAACAAAGGAGGGGGAAAGACUACAAGUCCCGCUCCAAGAAGGUUUGCUACAAAUGUGGUAAGCCCAGUCAUUUUAUUGCUAAAUGUCCCAUAUCUAGUGACAGUGACCGAGGCGACGACAAGAAGGGGAGAAGAAAGGAGAAGAAGAGGUACUACAAGAAGAAGGGCGGCGAUGCCCAUGUUUGUCGGGAGUGGGAUUCCGACGAAAGCUCAAGCGACUCCUCCGACGACGAGGACGCCGCCAACAUCGCCGUCACCAAGGGACUCCUCUUCCCCAACGUCGGCCACAAGUGCCUCAUGGCAAAGGACGGCAAAAGGAAGAAGGUAAAAUCAAGAUCCUCCACUAAAUAUGAAACCUCUAGUGAUGAAAAUGCUAGUGAUGAGGAGGAUAACUUGCGUACCCUUUUUGCCAAUCUUAACAUGGAACAAAAGGAAAAAUUAAAUGAAUUAAUUAGUGCUAUUCAUGAAAAGGAUGACCUUUUGGAUUCCCAAGAGGAUUGUCUUAUUAAGGAAAACAAGAAACAUGUUAAGGUUAAAAAUGCUUACGCCCUAGAAGUAGAAAAAUGUCAAAAACUAUCUAGUGAGCUAAGCACUUGCCAUGAGAUGAUUGACAACCUUAGACAUGAAAAUGCUAGUUUAAAUGCUAAGGUUGAUUCACAUGUUUGUAAUGUUUCAAUUCCCAAUCCUAGAGAUAAUAAUGAUGAUUUGCUUGCUAGGAUUGAAGAAUUGAACAUUUCUCUUGCUAGCCUUAGAAUUGAGAAUGAAAAAUUGCUUGCUAAGGCUAAAGAUUUUGAUGUUUGCAAUACUACCAUUUCCGACCUUAGAACUAAGAAUGAUAUCUUGCAUGCUAAGGUUGUAGAAUUAAAAUCUUGCAAACCCUCUACAUCUACCAUUGAGCAUGUUUCCAUUUGUACUAGAUGUAGAGAUGUUGAUAUUAAUGCUAUUCAUGAUCACAUGGCUUUAAUUAAACAACAAAAUGAUCAUAUAGCAAUAUUAGAUGCUAAAAUUGCCGAGCAUAACUUAGAGAAUGAAAAAUUUAAAUUUGCUAGAAGUAUGCUCUAUAAUGGGAGACGCCCUGGCAUCAAGGAUGGCAUUGGAUUCCAAAGGGGAGACAAUGUCAAACUUAGUGCCCCUCCAAAAAGAUUGUCCAACUUUGUUAAGGGCAAGGCUCCCAUGCCUCAGGAUAACGAGGGUUACAUUUUAUACCCUGCCGGUUAUCCUGAGAGCAAAAUUAGGAGAAUUCACUCUAGGAAGUCUCACUCUGGCCCAAAUCAUGCUUUUAUGUAUAAGGGUGAGACAUCUAGUUCUAGGCAACCAACCCGUGCUAAGUUGCCUAAGAAGACUCCUAGUGCAUCAAAUGAACAUAGUCUUUCAUUUAAAACCUUUGAUGCAUCUUAUGUGUUAACUAACAAAUCCGGCAAGGUAGUUGCCAAAUAUGUUGGGGGCAAGCACAAGGGGUCAAAGACUUGUGUUUGGGUACCCAAAGUUCUUGUGUCUAAUGCCAAAGGACCCAAAACCAUUUGGGUACCUAAAGUCAAGAACUAAAAUUGUUUUGUAGGUAUAUGCAUCCGGGGGCUCAAGUUGGAUACUCGACAGCGGGUGCACAAACCACAUGACUGGGGAGAAAAAGAUGUUCUCCUCAUAUGAGAAAAACCAAGAUCCCCAACGAGCGAUCACAUUCGGGGAUGGAAAUCAAGGUUUGGUCAAAGGUUUGGGUAAAAUAGCUAUAUCUCCUGACCACUCCAUUUCCAAUGUUUUUCUUGUAGAUUCUUUAGAUUACAACUUGCUUUCUGUUUCCCAAUUAUGUCAAAUGGGCUACAACUGUCUUUUUACUGAUAUUGGUGUCACUGUCUUUAGAAGAAGUGAUGAUUCAAUAGCAUUUAAGGGAGUGUUAGAGGGUCAGCUAUACUUGGUAGAUUUUGAUAGAGCUGAACUCGACACUUGCUUAAUUGCUAAGACUAACAUGGGUUGGCUCUGGCACCGCCGACUAGCCCAUGUUGGGAUGAAGAAUCUUCACAAGCUUCUAAAGGGAGAACACAUUUUAGGAUUAACAAAUGUUCAUUUUGAGAAAGACAGGAUUUGUAGCGCAUGCCAAGCAGGGAAGCAAGUUGGCUCUCAUCAUCCGCAUAAGAACAUAAUGACGACCGACAGGCCACUGGAGAUCCUGCACAUGGAUCUAUUCGGCCCGAUCGCUUACAUAAGCAUCGGCGGGAGUAAGUACUGUCUUGUUAUUGUGGAUGAUUAUUCUCGCUUCACUUGGGUAUUCUUUUUACAGGAAAAAUCUCAAACCCAAGAAACCUUAAAGGGAUUCUUGAGACGGGCUCAAAAUGAGUUCGGCUUAAGGAUCAAGAAAAUAAGAAGCGACAACGGGACGGAGUUCAAGAACUCUCAAAUCGAAGGCUUUCUUGAGGAGGAGGGCAUCAAGCAUGAGUUCUCUUCUCCCUACACGCCACAACAAAAUGGUGUAGUGGAGAGGAAGAAUCGAACUCUAUUGGACAUGGCAAGGACCAUGCUUGAUGAGUACAAGACUUCGGAUCGGUUUUGGGCCGAGGCGGUCAACACCGCCUGCUACGCCAUCAACCGGUUGUAUCUACACCGAAUCCUCAAGAAGACAUCAUAUGAACUCCUAACCGGUAAAAAGCCCAACAUUUCAUAUUUUAGAGUCUUUGGUAGCAAAUGCUUUAUUCUUGUUAAAAGAGGUAGAAAAUCUAAAUUUGCUCCUAAGACUGUAGAAGGCUUUUUACUAGGAUAUGACUCAAACACAAGGGCAUAUAAGGUCUUUAACAAGUCCACUGGACUAGUUGAAGUCUCAUGUGACGUUGUGUUUGAUGAGACUAACGGCUCUCAAGUAGAGCAAGUUGAUCUUGAUGAGAUAGGUGAUGAAGAGGCUCCGUGCAUCGCGCUAAUGAACAUGUCCAUUGGGGAUGUGUGUCCUAAGGAAUCCGAGGAGCCUCCAAAUGCACAAGAUCAACCAUCCUCCUCCAUGCAAGCAUCCCCACCAACUCAAAAUGAAGAUGAGGCUCAAGUUGAUAAAGAAGAAGAUCAAUCAAAUGAGCCACCUCAAGAUGAAGGCAUAGAUCAAGGGGGAGAUGCAAAUAAUCAAGACAAGGAAGAUGAAGAGCAAAGGCCGCCACACCCAAGAGUCCACCAAGCAAUCCAACGAGAUCACCCUGUCGACACCAUCCUCGGCGAUAUUCAUAAGGGGGUAACUACUCGAUCUCGUGUUGCACAUUUUUGUGAACAUUACUCGUUUGUUUCCUCUAUUGAGCCACACAGGGUGGAGGAAGCACUCCAAGAUUCGGAUUGGGUGGUGGCGAUGCAAGAGGAGCUCAACAACUUCACUAGGAAUGAGGUAUGGCAUUUAGUUCCACGUCCUAAUCAAAAUGUUGUAGGAACCAAAUGGGUUUUCCGCAACAAGCAAGAUGAGCAUGGUGUGGUGACAAGGAACAAAGCUCGACUUGUGGCCAAAGGAUACUCCCAAGUCGAAGGUUUGGAUUUCGGUGAAACCUAUGCACCCGUAGCUAGGCUUGAGUCAAUUCGCAUAUUAUUAGCCUAUGCUACUUACCAUGGCUUUAAGCUUUAUCAAAUGGACGUGAAAAGUGCCUUCCUCAAUGGACCAAUCAAGGAAGAGGUCUAUGUUGAGCAACCUCCCGGCUUUGAAGACAGUGAGUAUCCUAACCAUGUCUAUAAGCUCUCUAAGGCGCUUUAUGGGCUCAAGCAAGCCCCAAGAGCAUGGUAUGAAUGCCUUAGAGAUUUUCUUAUUGCAAAUGGAUUCAAAGUCGGAAAGGCCGAUCCUACACUCUUUACUAAAACUCUUGAAAAUGACUUGUUUGUAUGCCAAAUUUAUGUUGAUGAUAUUAUAUUUGGGUCUACUAACGAGUCUACUUGUGAAGAGUUUAGUAGGAUCAUGACUCAGAAAUUCGAGAUGUCUAUGAUGGGGGAGUUGAAGUAUUUCUUAGGAUUCCAAGUAAAACAACUCCAAGAGGGCACCUUCAUUAGCCAAACGAAGUACACUCAAGACAUUCUAAACAAGUUUGGGAUGAAGGAUGCCAAGCCCAUCAAGACACCCAUGGGAACCAAUGGGCAUCUCGACCUCGACACGGGAGGUAAGUCCGUGGAUCAAAAGGUAUACCAGUCGAUGAUAGGUUCUUUACUCUAUUUAUGUGCAUCUCGACCGGAUAUUAUGCUUUCCGUUUGCAUGUGUGCAAGAUUCCAAUCCGACCCUAAGGAAUCCCACCUUAAGGUCGUAAAACGAAUCUUGAGAUAUUUGGCUUAUACUCCUAAGUUUGGGCUUUGGUACCCUCGGGGAUCCACAUUUGAUUUGAUUGGUUAUUCUGAUGCCGAUUGGGCGGGGUGCAAAAUCAAUAGGAAGAGCACAUCGGGGACUUGCCAGUUCUUGGGAAGAUCCUUGGUGUCUUGGGCUUCAAAGAAGCAAAAUUCGGUUGCUCUUUCCACCGCCGAAGCCGAGUACAUUGCCGCAGGCCAUUGUUGCGCGCAAUUGCUUUGGAUGAGGCAAACCCUGCGGGACUACGGUUACAAAUUAACCAAAGUCCCUUUGCUAUGUGAUAAUGAGAGUGCAAUCAAAAUGGCCGACAAUCCCGUCGAGCAUAGCCGCACUAAGCACAUAGCCAUUCGGUAUCAUUUUCUUAGGGAUCACUAACAAAAGGGAGAUAUCGAGAUUUCUUAUAUUCACACUAAAGAUCAAUUAGCCGAUAUCUUUACCAAGCCUCUUGACGAACAAACUUUUACUAAACUUAGGCAUGAGCUCAAUAUUCUUGAUUCGCGCAAUUUCUUUUGCUAGAUUGCACACAUAGCUCAUUUAUAUACCUUUGAUCAUAUCUCUUUUAUAUGCUAUGACUAAUGUGUCUUCAAGUCUAUUUCAAAACCAAGUCAUAGGUAUAUUGAAAGGGAAUUGGAGUCUUCGGCGAAGACAAAGGCUUCCACUCCGUAACUCAUACUUCGCCAUCACUCCAAGCAACUCUCUAAUCUUUGGGGAGAAAUGAGCAUCAAAGAAAAGGACUUCGUCUUUGGGAAAGAGUAAGAGCCCAAAGCUAAAGGACCGGACUUCGUCUUUGGUAUAAUCUUAACUCACUCAUUUAUGACCAAAGAGGAAGAUGGCACUUCGAGGGUUCUAAUGAUUCCGUUUUUUUGGCGAUUUAUGCCAAAAAGGGGGAGAAAUGAGCCCAAAGCAAAAGGACCGCACCACCACCAAAUUUCAAACACUUGAGUGAUGAAUAUUUUCAAUUGGUAUCCUAUUGUGUUCAAAAGGGGGAGAAAGUAGUAUUUCAAAAAAUUAUCAAAACCCUCUUGAACACUAAGAGGAGGAUCUCACUUAGGGGGAGUUUUGUUUAGUCAAAGGAGAAGCAUUUGAAACAGGGGGAGAAAAUUUCAAAUCUUGAAAAUGCUUUGCAAAAUCUUAUUCAUUCACCUUUGACUAUUUGCAAAAGAACUUUGAAAAGGAUUUACAAAAGAGUUUGCAAAAACAAAACUCGUGGUGCAAGCGUGGUCCAAAAUGUUAUAUAAGAAAGAACCAAUCCAUGCAUAUCUUGUAAGUAUUCAUAUUGGCUCAAUUCCAAGCAACCUUUACACUUACAUUAUGCAAACUAGUUCAAUUAUGCACUUCUAUAUUUGCUUUGGUUUGUGUUGGCAUCAAUCACCAAAAAGGGGGAGAUUGAAAGGGAAUUAGGCUUACACCUAGUCCCUAAUUAUUUUUGGUGGUUGAAUUGCCCAACACAAAUUUAUUGGCCUAACUAGUUUGCCCAAGUGUAUAGAUUAUACAGGUAUAAAAGGUUCACUCUCAGCCAAUAAAAAGACCAAGUUUUGGAUUCAACAAAGGAGCAAAGUGGCAACCGAAGGCCCUCUGGUCUGGGAGCACCGGACUGUCCGGUGUACACCGGACAGUGUCCGGUGCACCAGAGGACUCCAACGCAAACUCGCCACCUUCGGGAAUUUCCAGAGGCGACUCCGCUAUAAUUCACCGGACUGUCCGGUGUACACCGGACAGUGUCCGGUGCGCCAAGGAGGAGCGGCCUCAGGAACUCGCCAGCUUCGGGAAACGCCAACGGCUAGUCCGCUAAAAUUCACCGGACUGUCCGGUGUGCACCGGACUGUCCGGUGCGACUCCGGAGCAACGGCUAUCUCCGCGCCAACGGCUCUCUGCCGCGCAUUAAAUGCACGCACAGCGCGCGCAGAAGUCAGGCGCGCCCAUACUGGCACACCGGACAAGGAACAGUGCAUGUCCGGUGUGCACCGGACACCCAGGCGGGCCCACAAGUCAGAAGCUCCAACGGUCAGAAUCCAACGGCAGUGAUGACGUGGCAGGGGGCACCGGACUGUCCGGUGUGCACCGGACUGUCCGGUGCGCCAUCGAACAGACAGCCUUCCAACGGCCACAUUUGGUGGUUGGGGCUAUAAAUACCCCAACCACCCCACCAUUCAUGGCAUCCAAGUUUUCCACUUCCCAACUACUACAAGAGCUCUAGCAUUCAAUUCUAGACACACCAAAAGAGAUCAAAUCCUCUCCAAUUCCACAAAAGGCUUUAGCGAUUAGAGAGAGAGAUUUGCCGUGUUACUUUUGGGCUCUUGCGCUUGGAUUGCUUCUUUUCUUUCUCACUUGUUCUUAUGAUCAAAGUUCCAUUGUAAUCAAGGCAAGAGGCACCAAUUGUGUGGUGGCCCUUGCGGGGAAGUUUUGUUCCCGGCUUUGAUUUGAGAAGAGAAGCUCACUCGGUCCGAGGGACCGUUUGAGAGAGGGAAGGGUUGAAAGAGACCCGGCCUUUGUGGCCUCCUCAACGGGGAGUAGGUUUGCGAGAACCGAACCUCGGUAAAACAAAUCCGCGUGUCACACUCUUCAUUUGCUUGAGAUUUGUUUUGCACCCUCUCUCGCGGACUCAUUUAUAUUUCUAACGCUAACCCGGCUUGUAGUUGUGUCUAUAUUUGUAAAUUUCAGUUUCGCCCUAUUCACCCCCCCCUCUAGGCGACUAUCAAAUGUGUUCGGGGGUUCCCAAUCGACCGUAUCCCUUUAUAUUUAUAGGAGAGGAGGUAUGGACCUGUUCCUAGGUGAGAUCCAAGAUAUUCCCAUGGAUAGGUUAGGAUAACCACGUAUGGGAUAAGUACUCUCAUCCAUGUUAAUCUGGACAUGGGCGUGAAAUAUCCGGACCACAGUGCUGGACCGUUCGGCCGUGGCUAGGUGCCAAAUAUGGUGUUCAACAUAUGCCCCUGCCUUUUGGUGGAGCUUGGUGAACUAAAAUCACCUAGUACUACCAGACUCUUUCGAGAAACAAUAGAUUCUGCAACUUGCCUUGUUCCCAAAAUAGGAACACUAGCCCGUUGUAAGUCAUCGGCUCUUGUGAUCAAAUAAUAUAACUAUUUGAUAGAACUUUAAUGUACAUAGAUCGUUUUGGAUUGCAUCCUAUUUAGUUGUAUCUACCUUAUCAACAUGUCAAUAGGCAAAAACUUGUGGUGCCCCCAGCCCGAAUAAGCAAACGGAUUUGGGCCAGUAAUACCGAUUCAUCGUCGUACCAGCCCCACUUGAGUAGGACAACCCAUCAGCGAUGAAAACACUAGAAAGCACCAUGACAUCCCUAGAGGAGGAUGACCAGACGAUCUUGGUUGCACCACUUUUUGGGCCAUUUUAGUCGGCCUCUGCUUUUGCAUAGACCACAUUUUUUACUUUGUUCGUUUUAUUGGUCGGUCGUGUGGAACGACCUUCUUCUUCAUAUAUUUAGCAUAUAGCUGAUAAAAAGUAGGACCUACUCUGUUGAGUCGAUCAGACGUCUUGGAAGUGUUUUGCUUCCUAGUACCUAUUUUAGGACGCUAUGGUCGGACGGUCUAAGGUUGCUUCUGCUUCUAGUUGUAGGCAGACUGUCUGGCCUUCACAGCUGGACUGUCCACGCUUGACCCGGACUAUCUGGCCUUAGUGCUGGACCCACCCGGACUAUCAUGCUUGCACUCCCAGCGUCUCUGGUCUUUCUUUUGUCUAGAGCCUUUCGAGUAAACACUCCAUGCGAGGGUCACCAAUUGUAACACCCUAGCCACCCCGAGCAUGGCGGUCGUCACUCCUUACAGCUUUAUAGGCUUAGACUCUCCACACAGAUCAACACUAGUCUUUUAUGCGCACUUUGUACUCACUUAUGCACACCCAGGAAGCACUUCUCGAUCGGUCACCCAUCCCAAAUUGCUCCAAGCAAAGCACGCUUAAUAACUUGGUGGUUCUUUGGAGAGGAGCUUCCGGAGAAGAAGGAUCACCUUGUGAGUAUGAGUAUUCUAAUAAUUCUAUUAAGCCAUGGGACAUGUCAUCACAAUCCACCCCCUUAGAAGAUCAAUGUCCUUGUCGAUCAAUCCCAAGUCAGGAUCCUCCCUUCUUGGCCACGUAUGUGCGUCUAGUGUCAGCACAUAUACCAUGUCAUCUGACCACUUUGUGCCCACAUACGCCAUGCACACUAUGUCCACACACCUAGCCUAUACACACUCAUGAAACCGUGAGGGUCAGCUCUGAUACCAAUUGUAACAUGCCAGCCACCACAGUCCUGGCGGUCGUCACUCCUAGCACCUUUAUAGGCUUAGAAUCUCCCCAUAGGCCAACACUAGUCUUUUCCGCACACUUUGUCCUCACUCAUGCGCACCUGGGAAGCAAUCCCCAAAUUUCUUCAAGCAAGGCAUGCUUAACUUGGAGGUUCUUUGAAGAGGAGCUUCCGGAAAGGAAGGAUCACCUUGUUGGUAUAAUUAUUCUAUUAAUUAUAUUAAGCCAUGGGCACGGUCAUCAAACAAUGAUAAUAUUUUUACCUUUGUCUUUAUUGGUCACACAUGGUCGAACCAAGAUUUUUUUGCUCGUCAGCUCUAAUGUGUUGACAGGGAUAGGUGGUAUGUCAAUCUUCAUUUCUUGAAAUCUCAACCGGCCUUUAUUUAUAGUCGAUUGUAUUUGUCGACAAAAAACAUUACAACCAUUGGUGUUUUGAAGAAAUGAGCCAUACCAUUUACAAUAUGCACGCCUUUUCAAUUCUUCUAUCGAGGGAAUUGUAUGCGGCAAUUUAAUGUUACCAUUCUUAAGUAACUUGUCAAAUAUUUUAUCACACUUAGCAACAUUAAAUGUGAACUUAACUUUUCCCUUUUUGACGAGUGUAGAUGAGAGCGAGCAGAAGAUUUGGCCUUAACAGGCCAAACAAGCUCAACGACAUGUAACUUUUUCAGCUUAUCCCCUGAGCUACAAUCGCAGUGAUAUUCAUCCUAGGGCUUAGGUGACCGGCUAUCUUUAUGUUGGCCUUCUGCACUAGGACGGUCACAAGUGGCUUUCGGUAUUUCAGACAGUACGACCUGUGUGGUCGGACGAUCUGUGAAGGGAUCAAACGGUCUGGUAUUAUAUCCGGAGUGUUCAAUUGUGCCGAGCAUCGCCUGCGAGCCUUGUGGUGGGCUCUGUGUGACUCUGGACCGUCUAGCGUAAGGUGUCGGAGGGUCCGAUAGAGGGUCAGAUGGUUUGAGAUCGUGUGUGGACUGCCCGCCCGUGCUCAGAGUCGAUCCACCGUAUAGUGAAGAUGACGACAGCGGUUGCCCCGGAUAUGAGUUCGUCGGCAUUACCAUAAUAUAACUAGGACUGAGAAAACCCAUUUGUCGCUGAUGUGUUUGGCACAAUUGUUUCGGUGUCCAAUUCAUGUGACAAAAAAUUAUGCGUAUGAGAUUUUGCAUGCAUCAUUUUCUAGAUAUCCUUUGUCAUACUUUUAAUCCGAUUAUCAAAAGAAAUUUUAAUAGAUUGAAUAUCAUCGAAUGAUGCGGUGUCACUUAUAGUAGGUAGUUGUUGCAACAAGGCUGGCAUGGAAUUGUUGUUUAUUUCCCUCUCCAGGAGGACCUUCUGGUGGUGAUCUAUCAUGAAGUGCGAGAGGUGCCACUUUUCCAAUCGCGCUUUUGAGCUUGUGUUAACGCUGUAACUCCGUGUCCCACUUCUUCAUGUAGACUUUUAAUUCCUCAUGCUCGGCGACCGAUAAAUUAGACAGCCUUGUGUCGCUAUCUCGAGAAACAUCGUUGAGAUCUUUAGAGAAUCGGCCAUAGAAGCUGAUUUUUGUAGAUUUGCAACCUUCGUCCGCAGCGAAAUCAUCAAAAACUAUGUUGGAUCUGAUUCAGGGCUAGACACUAUGGGUGUACUACCUAGUGGUGCCCUUUGUGGCAGCAUGGACGUCCGCGGCUCUAGGCCAGACGGUCCGCGACCUCGCUGCAGCAGCGGCUCCUUCCCUGCGUCGCUCCAGACAGUCUGCUAUGACGCAUGGUCGUCUUCCUCCUCGUGAGAACCUAGAUCUCGUCCGCUAGGGGAGAGAUCUUAGGAUGCUUCUGAGUCGACAGGCCACCCGGGGCAUCCCAGAUGACGUAGAGUCGCCUAGUGAUUAAAAAAUUGAAAGGGAAUUAGGCUUACACCUAGUUCCUAUAUAAUUUUGGUGGUUGAAUUGCCCAACACAAAUCUUUGGACUAACUAGUUUGCUCUAGUGUAUAUGUUAUACAGGUGCUAAAGGUUCACACUUAGCCAAUAAAAAGACCAAGAGUUGGGUUCAACAAAAGAGCAAAGGGCCAACCGAAGGCACCUCUGGUCUGGCGCACCGGACUGUCCGGUGUGCCACCGGACAGUGUCCGGUGCACCACCGGACAUGUCCGGUGCACCAGAGGACUCCAACGCAAACUCACCACCUUCGGGAAAUUCCAGAAGCACUCGCGCUAUAAUUCACCGGACUGUCCGGUGUACACCGGACAGUGUCCGGUGCACCAAGGAGGAGCGGCCUCAGGAACUCGCCAGCUUCGGGAAUCGCCAACGGCUAGUCCGCUAUAAUUCACCGGACAUGUCCAGUGUGCACCGGACUGUCCGGUGCAACUCCGGAGCAACGGCUAACUCGCGCCAACGGCUACCUGCAGAGCAUUUAAUGGGCGCGCAGCGCGCGCAGAAGUCAGGCAUGCCCAUACUGGCGCACCGGACAGUGAACAGUGCAUGUCCGGUGCGCCACCGGACAUCAAGGCGGGCCCACAAGUCAGAACUCCAACGGUCAGAAUCCAACGGCAGUGAUGACGUGGCGGGGGCACCGGACAUGUCCGGUGCGCCAUCGAACAGAAAGGCUCCCAACGGCCACUUUUGGUGGUUGGGGCUAUAAAUACCCCAACCACCCCAUCAUUCAUUGCAUCCAAGUUUUCCACUUCCCAACUACUACAAGAGCUCUAGCAUUCAAUUCUAGACACACCAAAGAGAUCAAAUCCUCUCCAAAUUCCACACAACGCCCUAGUGACUAGAGAGAGAGAUUUGCUUGUGUUCUUUCGAGCUCUUGCGCUUGGAUUGCUUUCUUCUUUCUUGAUUCCUUCAUUGCGAUCAAACUCACUUGUAAUUGAGGCAAGAGACACCAAACUUGUGGUGGUCCUUGUGGGAACUUUGUGUUCCAAGUGAUUGAGAAGAGAAAGCUCACUCGAUCCAAGGGAUCGUUUGAGAGAGGGAAGGGUUGAAAGAGACCCGGCCUUUGUGGCCUCCUCAACGGGGAGUAGGUUUGCGAGAACCGAACCUCGGUAAAACAAAUCCACGUGUCACACUCUUCAUUUGCUUGCGAUUUGUUUUGCACCCUCUCUCGCGGACUCGUUUCUUUAUUACUAACGCUAACCCGGCUUGUAGUUGUGUUUAUAUUUGUAAAUUUCAGUUUUGCCCUAUUCACCCCCCCUCUAGGCGACUAUCAAUUGGUAUCGGAGCCCGGUGCUUCAUUAGAGCCUAACCGCUCGAAGUGAUGUCGGGAGAUCACGCCAAGAAGGAGAUGGAGACCGGCGAAAAGCCCACUACAAGUCACGGGAGCACUUCAUCGGAAGAGUCCCACACCAAGAGGAGGGAGAAGAAGAAGAGCUCCUCCAACAAAGGGAAGGAGAAGAAAUCUUCUUCUCACCACAAAGAGAAGAAGGAAAAAUCUUCUUCCCACAAGCCGCAUCGGAGUGGGGACAAGCAAAAGAGGAUGAGGAAAGUGGUCUACUACGAGACCGACACUUCAUCAACAUCGACCUCCGGCUCCGAUGCGCCCUCCGUAACUUCUAAACGCCAAGAGCGUAAGAAGUUUAGUAAGAUCCCCUUACACUAUCCUCGCAUUUCUAAACAUGCACCUUUACUUUCCGUCCCAUUAGGCAAACCACCAACUUUUGAUGGUGAAGAUUAUGCUAGGUGGAGUGAUUUAAUGCGAUUUCAUCUAACCUCACUCCACAAAAGUAUAUGGGAUGUUGUUGAGUUUGGUGCACAGGUACCAUCCGUAGGGGAUAAGGAUUAUGAUGAGGAUGAGGUGGCCCAAAUCGAGCACUUCAACUCUCAAGCGACAACGAUACUCCUCGCCUCUUUAAGUAGAGAGGAGUAUAACAAAGUGCAAGGGUUGAAGAGCGCCAAGGAAGUUUGGGAUGUGCUCAAAACCGCGCACGAGGGAGAUGAGCUCACCAAAAUCACCAAGCGGGAAACGAUCGAGGGGGAGCUCGGUCGGUUCCGGCUUCGCAAAGGGGAGGAGCCACAACACAUGUACAACCGGCUCAAGACCUUGGUGAACCAAGUGCGCAACCUCGGGAGCGUAAAGUGGGAUGACCAUGAAGUGGUUAAGGUUAUUCUAAGAUCUCUUAUUUUCCUUAACCCUACUCAAGUUCAAUUAAUUCGUGGUAAUCCUAGAUAUACUAAAAUGACCCCCGAGGAAGUAAUCGGGCAUUUUGUAAGUUUUGAGUGCAUGAUCGAAGGCUCGAGGAAGAUCAACGAGCUCGAUGAUCCAUCCACAUCCGAGGCUCAACCCGUCGCAUUCAAGGCGACGGAAGAAAAGAAGGAGGAGUCUACUCCAAGUCGACAACCAAUAGACGCCUCCAAGCUCGACAAUGAGGAAAUGGCGCUCGUCAUCAAGAGCUUCCGCCAAAUCCUCAAGCAAAGGAGAGGGAAGGACUACAAGUCCCGCUCUAAGAAGGUUUGCUACAAGUGUGGUAAGCCCGGUCAUUUUAUUGCUAAAUGUCCUAUAUCUAGUGACAGUGACCGAGGCGACGACAAGAAGGGAAGAAGAAAAGAGAAGAAGAGGUACUACAAGAAGAAGGGCGGCGAUGCCCAUGUUUGUCGGGAGUGGGACUCCGACGAAAGCUCUAGCGACUCCUCCGACGACGAGGACGCCGCCAACAUCGCCGUCACCAAGGGACUCCUCUUCCCCAACGUCAGCCACAAAUGCCUCAUGGCAAAGGACGGCAAAAAGAAGAAGGUUAAAUCUAACUCCUCCACUAAAUAUGAAUCUUCUAGUGAUGAUAAUGCUAGUGAUGAGGAGGAUAAUUUACGUACCCUUUUUGCCAACCUCAACAUGCAACAAAAGGAGAAACUUAAUGAAUUGAUUAGUGCUAUUCAUGAAAAGGAUGACCUUUUGGAUACUCAAGAGGACUUCCUUAUUAAAGAAAAUAAGAAGCAUGUUAAGGUUAAAAAUGCUUAUGCUCUAGAAAUUGAAAAAUGUGAAAAAUUAUCUAGUGAGCUAAGCACUUGCCAUGAAACAAUAGACAACCUUAGAAAUGAAAAUGCUAAUUUGAUAGCUAAGGUUGAUUCUCAUGUUUGCAAUGUUUCAAUUUCCAACCCUAGAGAUAAUAAUGAUGAUUUGCUUGCUAGGAUUGAAGAAUUAAACAUUUCUCUUGCUAGCCUUAGAAUUGAGAAUGAAAAAUUGCUUGCUAAGGGUAAAGAUUUUGAUGUUUGCAAUACUACCAUUUCCGACCUUAGAACUAAGAAUGAUAUCUUGCAUGCUAAGGUUGUAGAAUUAAAAUCUUGCAAACCCUCUACAUCUACCAUUGAGCACGUUUCCAUUUGUACUAGAUGUAGAGAUGUUAACAUUGAUGCUAUUCAUGAUCGUAUGGCUUUAAUUAAACAACAAAAUAAUCAUAUAGCUAAAUUAGAUGCUAAAAUUGUCGAGCAUAACUUAGAAAGUGAAAAAUUUAAAUUUGCUAGAAGUAUGCUCUAUAAUGGGAGACGCCCUGGCAUCAAGGAUGGCAUUGGCUUCCAAAGGGGAGACAAUGUCAAACUUAGUGCCCCUCCUAAAAGAUUGUCUAAUUUUGUUAAGGGCAAGGCUCCCAUGCCUCAGGAUAACGAGGGUUACAUUUUGUACCCUGCCGGUUAUCCCGAGGACAAAAUUAGGAAAAUUCAUUCUAGGAAGUCUCACUCUGGCCCUAAUCAUGCUUUCAUGUAUAAGGGUGAGACAUCUAGCUCUAGGCAACCAACCCGUGCUAAGUUGCCUAGAAAGAAAAUUCCUACUGCAUCAAAUGAACAUAGUCUCUCAUUUAAAACUUUUGAUGCAUCUUAUGUGUUGACUAACAAAUCCGGCAAAGUAGUUGCCAAAUAUGUUGGGGGCAAGCACAAGGGGUCAAAGACUUGUGUUUGGGUACCCAAAGUUCUUGUGUCUAAUGCCAAAGGACCCAAAACCAUUUGGGUACCUAAAGUCAAGAACUAAACUUGUUUUGUAGGUUUAUGCAUCCGGGGGCUCAAGUUGGAUCAUCGACAGCGGGUGCACAAACCACAUGACAGGGGAGAAAAGGAUGUUCUCCUCCUACGAGAAAAACCAAGAUCCCCAACGAGCGAUCACAUUCGGGGAUGGAAAUCAAGGUUUGGUCAAAGGUCUUGGUAAAAUCGCUAUAUCUCCUGACCAUUCUAUUUCCAAUGUUUUUCUUGUAGAUUCUUUAGAUUACAAUUUGCUUUCCGUAUCUCAAUUAUGUCAAAUGGGCUACAACUGUCUUUUCACUGAUGUAGGUGUCACUGUCUUUAGAAGAAGUGAUGAUUCAAUAGCAUUUAAGGGUGUGUUAGAGGGUCAGCUAUACUUAGUAGAUUUUGAUAGAGCUGAACUCGACACAUGCUUAAUUGCUAAGACUAACAUGGGUUGGCUCUGGCACCGCCGACUAGCCCAUGUUGGGAUGAAGAAUCUUCACAAUCUUCUAAAGGGAGAACACAUUUUAGGAUUAACAAAUGUUCAUUUUGAGAAAGACAGGAUUUGUAGCGCAUUCCAAGCAGGGAAGCAAGUUGGCACUCAUCAUCCGCAUAAAAACAUAAUGACGACCGACAGGCCACUGGAGCUCCUACACAUGGAUCUAUUCGGCCCGAUCGCUUACAUAAGCAUCGGCGGGAGUAAGUACUGUCUAGUUAUUGUGGAUGAUUAUUCUCGCUUCACUUGGGUAUUCUUUUUACAAGAAAAAUCUCAAACCCAAGAGACCUUAAAGGGAUUCUUGAGACGGGCUCAGAAUGAGUUCGGCUUAAGGAUCAAGAAAAUAAGAAGCGACAACGGGACGGAGUUCAAGAAUUCUCAAAUUGAAGGCUUCCUUGAGGAGGAGGGCAUCAAGCAUGAGUUCUCUUCUCCCUACACGCCUCAACAAAAUGGUGUAGUGGAGAGGAAGAAUAGAACUCUAUUGGACAUGGCAAGGACCAUGCUUGAUGAGUACAAAACCUCGGAUCGGUUUUGGGCCGAGGCGGUCAACACCGCCUGCUACGCCAUCAACCGGUUGUAUCUACACCGAAUCCUCAAGAAGACAUCAUAUGAACUCCUCACCGGUAAAAAGCCCAAUAUUUCAUAUUUUAGAGUUUUUGGUAGCAAAUGCUUUAUUCUUGUUAAAAGAGGUAGAAAAUCUAAAUUUGCUCCUAAAACGGUAGAAGGCUUUUUACUUGGUUAUGACUCAAACACAAGGGCAUAUAGGGUCUUUAACAAGUCCACUGGACUAGUUGAAGUCUCAUGUGACGUUGUGUUUGAUGAAACUAACGGCUCUCAAGUAGAGCAAGUUGAUCUUGAUGAGAUAGGUGAUGAAGAGGCUCCGUGCAUCGCGCUAAGGAACAUGUCCAUUGGGGAUGUGUGUCCUAAGGAAUCCGAAGAGCCUCCAAAUGCACAAGAUCAACCAUCCUCCUCCAUGCAAGCAUCUCCACCAACUCAAAAUGAGGAAGAGGCUCAAGUUGAUGAAGAAGAAGAUCAAUCAAAUGAGCUACCUCAAGAUGACGGCAUAGAUCAAGGGGGAGAUGCAAAUAAUCAAGGCAAGGAGGAUGAAGAGCAAAGACCGCCACACCCAAGAGUCCACCAAGCAAUCCAACGAGAUCACCCCGUCGACACCAUCCUCGGCGAUAUUCAUAAGGGGGUAACUACUAGAUCUCGGGUUGCACAUUUUUGUGAACAUUACUCGUUUGUUUCCUCUAUUGAGCCACACAAGGUAGAGGAAGCACUUCAAGAUUCGGAUUGGGUGGUGGCGAUGCAAGAGGAGCUCAACAACUUCACUAGGAAUGAGGUAUGGCAUUUAGUUCCACGUCCUAAUCAAAAUGUUGUAGGAACCAAAUGGGUCUUCCGCAACAAGCAAGAUGAGCAUGGUGUGGUGACAAGGAACAAAGCUCGACUUGUGGCCAAAGGAUACUCCCAAGUCGAAGGUUUGGAUUUCGGUGAAACCUAUGCACCCGUAGCUAGGCUUGAGUCAAUUCGUAUAUUAUUAGCCUAUGCUACUUACCAUGGCUUUAAGCUUUAUCAAAUGGACGUGAAAAGUGCCUUCCUCAAUGGACCAAUCAAGGAAGAGGUCUAUGUUGAGCAACCUCCCGGCUUUGAAGACAGUGAGUAUCCUAACCAUGUCUAUAAGCUCUCUAAGGCGCUUUAUGGGCUCAAGCAAGCCCCAAGAGCAUGGUAUGAAUGCCUUAGAGAUUUCCUUACUGCUAAUGGCUUCAAAGUCGGUAAGGCCGAUCCUACACUCUUUACUAAAACUCUUGAAAAUGACUUAUUUGUAUGCCAAAUUUAUGUUGAUGAUAUUAUAUUUGGAUCUACUAACGAGUCUACAUGUGAAGAGUUUAGUAUGAUUAUGACACAAAAGUUCGAGAUGUCUAUGAUGGGGGAGUUGAAGUAUUUUCUAGGAUUCCAAGUCAAGCAACUCCAAGAGGGCACCUUCCUAAGCCAAACAAAGUACACUCAAGAUAUUCUAAACAAGUUUGGGAUGAAGGAUGCCAAACCCAUCAAGACACCCAUGGGAAUAAAUGGGCAUCUCGACCUCGACACGGGAGGUAAGUUCGUGGAUCAAAAGGUAUACCGGUCGGUGAUAGGUUCUUUACUCUAUUUAUGUGCAUCACGACCGGAUAUUAUGCUUUCCGUAUGCAUGUGUGCAAGAUUCCAAGCCGACCCUAAGGAAGCUCACCUUACGGCCGUGAAACGAAUCUUGAGAUAUUUGGCUUAUACUCCUAAGUUUGGGCUUUGGUAUCCUAGGGGAUCCACUUUUGAUUUGAUUGGUUAUUCGGAUGCCGAUUGGGCGGGGUGUAAAAUCAAUAGGAAGAGCACAUCGGGGACUUGCCAGUUCUUGGGAAGAUCCUUGGUGUCUUGGGCUUCAAAGAAGCAAAAUUCGGUCGCUCUUUCCACCGCCGAAGCCGAGUACAUUGCCGCAGGUCAUUGUUGCGCGCAAUUGCUUUGGAUGAGGCAAACCCUGCGGGACUACGGUUACAAAUUAACCAAAGUCCCUUUGCUAUGUGAUAAUGAGAGUGCAAUCAAGAUGGCAGAUAAUCCCGUCGAGCAUAGCCGCACUAAACACAUAGCCAUUCGGUAUCACUUUUUAAGGGAUCACCAACAAAAGGGAGAUAUCGAGAUUUCUUACAUUAACACUAAAGAUCAAUUAGCCGAUACCUUUACCAAGCCUCUUGAUGAACAAACUUUUACCAAACUUAGGCAUGAGCUCAAUAUUCUUGAUUCUAGGAACUUCUUUUGUUAAAAAUUGCACACAUUGCUCUUCUAUAUACCUUUGAUCAUAUCUCUUUCAUAUGCUAUGACUAAUGUGUUUUUCAAGUCUAUUUCAAACCAAGUCAUAGGUAUAUUGAAAGGGAAUUGGAGUCUUCGGCGAAGACAAAGGCUUCCACUCCGUAACUCAUCCUUCACCGUCGCUCCAAGAGAUUCUCCAUUCUUGGGGGAGAAAAGCAUGAGCAUCAAAGAAAAGGACUUUGUCUUUGGGGGAGAGAGUAAGAGCCCAAGGCAAAAGGACCGGACUUCAUCUUUGGUAUAAUCUUAACUCAUUCAUUUAUGACCAAAGGGGAAGAAAGCACUUCAGAGGGCUCUAAUGAUUCCGUUUUUGGCGAUUCAUGCCAAAGGGGGAGAAAGUAAGAGCCCAAAACAAAAGGACCGCACCACCACCAAUUUCAAAAACUUAGUGUUGAAUAUUUUCAAUUAGUAUCCUAUUGUGUUCAAAAGGGGGAGAAAGUAGUAUUUCAAAAAUGAUAUAUCAAAACCCUCUUGAACACUAAGAGGAGGAUUUCAUUUAAGGGGGAGUUUUGUUUAGUCAAAGGAAAAGCAUUUGAAACAGGGGGAGAAAAUUUCAAAUCUUGAAAAUGCUUCUCAUAAUCUUAUUCAUUUACCUUUGACUAUUUGCAAAAGAACUUUGAAAAGGAUUUACAAAAGAGUUUGCAAAAACAAAACAUAUGGUGCAAGCGUGGUCCAAAAUAUUAUAAGUAAGAAACAAUCCAUACAUAUCUUGUAAGUAGUUAUAUUGGCUCAAUUCCAAGCAACCUUUGCACUUAUAUUAUGCAAACUAGUUCAAUUAUGCACUUCUAUAUUUGCUUUGGUUUGUGUUGGCAUCAAUCACCAAAAAGGGGGAGAUUGAAAGGGAAUUAGGCUUACACCUAGUUCCUAUAUAAUUUUGGUGGUUGAAUUGCCCAACACAAAUCUUUGGACUAACUAGUUUGCUCUAGUGUAUAUGUUAUACAGGUGCUAAAGGUUCACACUUAGCCAAUAAAAAGACCAAGAGUUGGGUUCAACAAAAGAGCAAAGGGCCAACCGAAGGCACCUCUGGUCUGGCGCACCGGACUGUCCGGUGUGCCACCGGACAGUGUCCGGUGCACCACCGGACAUGUCUGGUGCACCAGAGGACUCCAACGCAAACUCGCCACCUUCGGGAAAUUCCAGAAGCACUCGCGCUAUAAUUCACCGGACUGUCCGGUGUACACCGGACAGUGUCCGAUGCACCAAGGAGGAGCGGCCUCAGGAACUCGCCAGCUUCGGGAAUCGCCAACGGCUAGUCCGCUAUAAUUCACCGGACAUGUCCGGUGUGCACCGGACUGUCCGGUGCAACUCCGGAGCAACGGCUAACUCGCGCCAACGGCUACCUGCAGAGCAUUUAAUGGGCGCGCAGCGCGCGCAGAAGUCAGGCAUGCCCAUACUGGCGCACCGGACAGUGAACAGUGCAUGUCCGGUGCGCCACCGGACAUCAAGGCGGGCCCACAAGUCAGAACUCCAACGGUCAGAAUCCAACGGCAGUGAUGACGUGGCGGGGGCACCGGACUGUCCGGUGCGCCAUCGAACAGAAAGGCUCCCAACGACCACUUUUGGUGGUUGGGGCUAUAAAUACCCCAACCACCCCAUCAUUCAUUGCAUCCAAGUUUUCCACUUCCCAACUACUACAAGAGCUCUAGCAUUCAAUUCUAGACACACCAAAGAGAUCAAAUCCUCUCCAAAUUCCACACAACGCCCUAGUGACUAGAGAGAGAGAUUUGCUUGUGUUCUUUCGAGCUCUUGCGCUUGGAUUGCUUUCUUCUUUCUUGAUUCCUUCAUUGCGAUCAAACACACUUGUAAUUGAGGCAAGAGACACCAAACUUGUGGUGGUCCUUGUGGGAACUUUGUGUUCCAAGUGAUUGAGAAGAGAAAGCUCACUCGAUCCGAGGGAUCGUUUGAGAGAGGGAAGGGUUGAAAGAGACCCGGCCUUUGUGGCCUCCUCAACUGGGAGUAGGUUUGCGAGAACCGAACCUCGGUAAAACAAAUCCACGUGUCACACUCUUCAUUUGCUUGCGAUUUGUUUUGCACCCUCUCUCGCGAACUCGUUUCUUUAUUACUAACGCUAACCCGGCUUGUAGUUGUGUUUAUAUUUGUAAAUUUCAGUUUCGCCCUAUUCACCCCCCUCUAGGCGACUAUCAAAAAUCCAGUCAAGGAAGAGUAUCUUGAAUAAAGUGGAUCUUGCUCCCCGGGAGUGGUAGAAUGCUAUGGUCGUCUUGGGGUCGGCAAGCCACCCAAGACGGAUCUAGACGACGUUAAGUCGAAUAGAGGUGGAGGUGGAUAUGUGGAAAGCUAUAAUUAGAACUAUGUUGCAUCUACUUUUAGGAUAGACAUGAUAAAGAAAGUAAUAGACGAAUCUAGACGACGUUAAGUCGAAUAGAGGUGGAGGUGGAUAUGUGGAAAACUACAAUUAGAACUAUGUUGCAUCUACUUUUAGGACAGGCAUGAUAAAGAAAGUAAUAGAUUGGUUCGAUUAGAAUAUAUUCGGGGUUCCCAAUCAGUCAUAUCCUUUUAUAUUUAUAGGAGAGGAGGUCUAGACCUGUUUCUAGGCGAGAUCUAAUAGAUUUUCAUGGAUAUGUUAGGAUAACCACGUAUGAGAUAAGUAGUCUCGCCCGUUUAAUAUGGUCGUGAGGGUGCGAACCGGACCGGACCACAUGGUCGGACCGUCCGGCCGUGGCUAGGUGCCAAAUAUAGCACUCAACAAAUAUUAAUAGUUAUUUAAUAAAUUAGUGUAGGGUUUUAUCCUACAUUUGUAUAUUGAUCAAAACAAAAAAAAGUAUACACACUAAUAAUAAGGGUAACUGAAAUGUUUUACACGUGUUGCAUCCAUAGUUUUAUACUCUCUACUAUCACAUGCUUCAAUCUAUGGCAGGUAAGUAGAGAUGUCCAAACGGGCCGCCCGGCCCGGUCCGGCCCAGGCCCGGUGAAGCCCGGCCCGUUUUGGGCCCGGCCCGCCAGGCACGAUUAAAAAACUGGGCCGGGCCGGCUAAGCACGCGGGCUCAAUUUCUUGUCCGAGCCCGGCCCGCAACGGGCUUAAACAGGCCGGGCCGGCCCGUUUAGCACGAAAAAAACGGGCCGAAAAGCGGGCUAUGCGGGCCGAAAAGCACGUUUUAGUGUAAAAAAGCGGGCUUAACGGGCUUAGAGCUAAACGGGCCGUGCCGGGCUAGCCCACCGUGCCUAAUUUCCUGUCCGAGCCCGGCUCGCUUAUUCGUGCCGGGCCGGCCGGGCCCGCCUAUAACCGGGUCGUGCCGGGCUCGGACCGGACCCAAAAAGCGGGCUUCGUGCCGGGCUCGCGGGCCUCGUGCUUAUUGGACAUCUAUACAGGUAAGUGUCAUUUCUUUCAGAAGCAUGUCCCUGCAAGCUGUUACCGUGGGAGGAGACUUGUCGAAGAUCUAGCUAUUUCGAUAUUUCCAAAUAGAUCAAGACAUGAGUAUCAUGGCUUCCAUUCUCCACGGUUUUAUAAACUGAAGUCGAACUCUCUGUAUCGCCAGCGGUACAUUAGAGGUGUUUGGAACUGUAAUUCCAAACAGUUGCUAACAUCUUCGAACAAAGUUACACUUUAAGAAGAGAUGGGCAGUUUUCUUCCCAUUGUUAUAUGCAAUUUUAACAAAUAUUAAUAGUAAUAAUAAAGUUUUUGUAAUAAUAAUAAUCCAAUGCAAGAAGCGGCGCGACCACUAGGUAGGCCGGCCGAAUCUUAGCAAUUCGAUCUACUGCGUCGCGUCUAAGCAGAAAUUCGAAAACGCAAUAAUGCAGAAGGAAAAUAGGCAGCAUCUACUUUUGUUUUUGUUAAAAAAAUAUAAGGAAAAAAUGAACGGACAAUAUAUGAGAAAGGUGCUUGAUCGGAUCGGAGGCAGCGAUUUUCGAAUAUGGAAUUGCGUUGUUUUUUUCGACGGUUCGAGUAAACCGUCCGGAAUCGUUUUUUAUCCAACUGUGUCGCUAAACGUACCUUGUGGAUGCUUCUGCUAAUUAAUUCCUUGUCAUCAUUAUCAUCAGCAGUGGAUAAUUGCGUUGCGUUGCGCCGGAGAAAAGAGCCUAAACAUUCGAGCCGCCCGGCCCAUGCCCAAAAAAAACCUAUCCUAUUUGAAUUUAGGUCAUACCGGGCCGACCCACGGCCUGACACGUAAUUGAUUGAAUGGCCGUACUUAUUUCGGACGGCUCAAAAUUAUAAAAGUCUGAAAUUCAAUUUUUAGACCAAAAUUCACAUCAGGGCCCGAAAUUUAGUUUUUUGUCCGAAAUUCACAUUAAAGCCCGAAAUUCACAUAACCCUAAAUUCAACACAAAUUUAUAAAACAAAUAAAUUUGACCAAAAGCAAACUUAAUAUUUGUAUUAAGUUACCAGAGCUAUGUAAUGACUACCUCGUUUACAAAUCAUUUCGUUAGAAGGAAAAAAAGUAUAAUCAGCUCUAUACAAAGUUUGCAAGUUCAAUUCAUUAUCUAAUGUUUAUAACAAAAGUAAAAUUACAUCACCUACUCUAAUUCAAAGCUACAAAAAACAUCUAACUAGUAUUAUCUUUAGCUUUGUGUUCUUUAUCAAGUACAUGAAAGUGUGAUUUUAAUAAGUAUAUGGGCCUUUUCGUGCCUCUGUAUAGGCCAUUUCGUGUCUGCCUUAAAUGAGCCAUGCUUAUGCCCGUCCAUAGGCCGCGACCUUGCCCAAACCCGGCCUGAUAUUUCGGAUCGUGCCGGCCCUGCACUAAAAUAUUUUGGGUCGUGCCUGAGUCGUGUUUUUUUCGUGCUUCUAUCAGGUCCGGCCCAAAUGUACACCUAUAAAAGCCACAAACUCAGUUUGGAGAUCAAAUUAAACACAUAUCUAACUAGGGACUCAUAAAUGUUAAAAAUCCUAUGAAAAAACACAUGGGCUAAUCUAAACGUAUGUGCAUGAGAAGAGAAAUCUAGGCCUCAGAAUGGGCCAUAUAAACUCAUGAGCAGAAAGGGGCUCCAAACUCACGGGCUAACAAAUUUGAGCUUUUUUGGGUUCUCCACUGAUCAGGGCAAAGUUGAAUUAAGACAUUCCACUAAAGGGUCGACACAGAUCGAUCAUCAAACAUAGUCCAGAUGUGCUAGUGGAUCGAACGAAAGGGCAUAAGCCUGUGGAUCAUGUCAGGGGCGGAGCCACGUUGGUCCAAGUGUUGUCCAUGGACAGCAAUGCUUUUAAUAGAAGUCCAUAAUAUUUGUUAGUAUUCACUAUAGAUGACAGCAGCCUGUAGUGUAGUUGGACAUCAAUCCGGCCUCUGAUUUGUUUGUUUAAGUAAUGUUAUAUGAGAGGUAAAUACUUGACUUUGUUUAAAUAAUGUUAUUUUGACUUAAUGUUACAUUAUAUGGUAGUACAUAUUGAAUUGAAAUUGAAACAUUUUUUACACAUUAAUUGCACCGUGACAUCAUUAGUAAAAAAUUCUACAUCCACCCCUGGAUCAUGUGAAAGGGCAACGUCUCAAUCUCUCAGGCGUUGUUCGCAGGGAUGCGGCACGAUACCUGUAGGCGGCCCCGUGGAGAUGUUUUCCCUGCCGUGGAGGUCGUCCUCGUGACCCAGCAGCCGCCAGCUUGACCCAAAACUCUGCUACAACGUCAUCCAAUGGGUGUGGUUCUUUCUCCUCACUCUGCCGUGUUCGAUCCAUUAUGAGUUUGGAUCUACUUCUCCUUUUUUUAUUGGUUUCUUCCCACCCUUCUUCCUUGUUGCUUUCUCGGUAACGAAUGAUGACUGCUGAGAACUUCAAUCAGAAAGAACAAGUAUAAAGUUUGUAUGUAUGACUGACCUAGAUAAGUUCUCAUAUGUUCCCUGUAAUCUCUAUGGUUCAUAGCUUUCUUAACAUUUUCUAGAGGAAAGCUUCAGUUUGUUUUCUGGUUUUAGAGCUUCCAGUUUUUUGGUAAUUCUAGUCUAUUGUUUAUUAUCAGCUGUCAAUGUCCUGGAGACUGGAGUUGGAUUACCGAUUUGUUUAUAUAUCGAUCGUUGUCCAUACUUCCCUUCUAUAUGUUCGGGUGGAGUUAAUUAGUAUCAUAUAAACUCUGGUCACCAUUCUGAUUAAUUGGUGUAUGUUAGUUACAAUCACACCACUUUGUCUUUGAUCACUAUUAUUAAUGAUUGUAGUUGCACUUGUCCUCCAUUUAAGCAGCUACUGCCAUCACCUGCUCUCCUCUCGGUGCUACUUUAAUUACUGUUUGAGUCUAUUUUAGAUUAAUUUUAGUUUGAAUGUUGACUGCUCUCGGUGCUAAUUUCAUUACUGUUUGAGUCUGCUCGAUGUAAGAUAAUUAACCAGACUCUAUUUCAAUUGUAUGCUCCGAGCUUAGAGUUUAUGACACACAAGAGCUUACAAAUGCAGAAAGUAUAGUGCCUUUGCAGACCAGUUUUUGCCUUUUGUUGUUCAGUGUAGGUUGUUUUUGGUCCCCUACCUGAGAUAUUACUGUAGAUUGUUUUCCUAAUUUGGUUGAAAUUAACUUAGUAUAAGGACAUAUCAUCAUGUGCCAAAUUAACUGAUCGUAAAUAUUAUAAAAAAAAUGUAUCACUAAAUAACUGAUCUUAAAUAUAUGGAUAGCUGAUCGCCAUGUUCUAGAGUUAGAUACUGCUAUAAGCGUGUUGUUGUUGUGUGUGUAUAUAUAAAUAAUAACUGGUACAAUUUCAAUAGGUGAUUUUGCAGCCUAGGCCAUGGAGGGGGUUUAAUUUCAUCGGCUCUAGAAAUAGACGAGGCUAUCUCAACUGGCCAAUCAAGCAAAUCAACAAAAAGAAGGGCUAAAGUGUGGGAUUCAGAAAGAAGGGCUAUCAUGUUGAUUCAGAGCUAGUAGAUGGGAAAGAGAAGGCGAUUUGCAAAUAGUGUAAGGUCCACUUAUCUUAUGCUACGGGUAAAGGUACAACUCAUAUGAAUAGGCACAUUUCUGUGUAUUGCCAUGCAAUGCCACCAGAAGAGAUACAAAGGUUCUUAGCGACCCAAAAAGCAAAGCCCGAUGUUGCUCAUGUUUUCAACCCUGUAGUCUAUCGUGGUCUAAUAAAAUAAGGAAAUUCCAUUUCUCUGUUGGCGCUGUUACGAGAACGAAAAAAAAUGAAAAAUGAAUCUUCUGUAUCGUUCUCGUGCCUUCAUAUUGAUGACAAUAGGGUUCAGGGUCCAGAACUGCCUCCAUUCUAAGUCAAACCACAACAUGUACAAUGUUAGGUUGCAUAGGUGUUAUAUGGACUUAAACAAUCUUGGGGAAUAUGGUAUAAUUGGCUCAGUGAAUUUCUUGUGAAGAAGGGAUAUAUAAAUAAUUCAGAUUCUUCUCACGGGUUUAUUAGAAAAUCUCAUAAGGGUUUCUAUACCAUUUUGGUCUAUGUUGAUGACAUAAAUAUCACAUGAUACGUGGAGGAUAUUGAGGAGACUAGUGUCCAUCUCAAGGCAAAGUUUGAAAUGAAAGAUUUGGAUGAAACUAAGUUUUGCUUGGGCCUAUAGGUUGAGCAUUUCCUUAAAGAAAUAUUUGCACACCAAUCAAACUAUAAUAAGAAAGUCCUCGAGAGAUUUAACAUGACCAAAACUUACCAUUUGAAGACCCUAGUGGUUGCAAUAUCCCUUAAAAGUACUAAUGUAUCAUGCAAAUUGCUAGCUAGACACAACGUAAAAUCCAAGCAAAAACAUUGGACAUGCACUAAGACUAUACAAAAAUACCUUAAAGGCACUCAAAAUCUUGGACUGUUUUCCGAACAAUUAGGACUAAACUUUGGUGGACUAUACAAAUGUUGGUUAUCUAUUAUAUUCCCAUUAUGCUAGAUCUUAGAAUGGCUUUGUGUUUCUUUGUGGUGGUACAGUCGUAUCCUAGAAAUCGAGCAAAUAUACACUAGUAGCUACGUCUACUAAUCACUCAUAGACAAUCACAUUAUAUAAAGCCACAUGAGAAUGUACUUUAGCUAUGACAUAUGACUAACACAUCCAAAAGUCAUAUGGCUUUGAUACCACAAACACCCCAUAUUUAUCUUUGAAGAUAAUGUGAUAUGUGUUGCAUAAAUAGAAAUAACCUAUAUUAAGAGUAAUAUGACUAAGCAUAUUUCUCCCAAACUUUUCUAUCCUCACAAACUCUAAAAUGAGAGUGAGGUGAAAAUUAUACAAUUCAAGUAUUUUGAUAAUCUGGCUGAUUUAUUUAGUAAAUUAUUUUCUAUAAUCACAUUCAAAAGAUAUGUUUAAGGUAUAAAAAAUAAGGCGUGUAAGAGUCAUGUAGGGUUCAAGGGAGGACACUGAAAUGUUAUCCCUUACUAUUGGGUCCAAAAGGUCAUAAGCUAUGCAAGCCUGAAGGCAGUAGUUGUUCUUAAGACAAUCAUUGUACUUCUUUUUUCUUUGUAAGUUUUCUUGAAAUUUCUCACUUAUUGUUUCUAACGAGGCAAUGAGUACAAUACAUGGACUGCCACUAUGGACUCUUCACCUUUUCUAAUGGUGUUUUUUGGAGUUUUAACGAAGCAUGAAUUACUCACGGUAUUCUCCUAAGAGAGAGUGUUAAGAACCCUACGAAGGGUUAUAUGAUAUAAUACCAAAUGUAUCCCUAGAGGACUCUACCUUUCUAUAUAAUAAACAUGUACCCUCAAAAAUAUAACAAGAUAAGAGAUCCUUCACUAUUGUCUCAUGUAUCACUUUGUUUAUGUCGCAGUGGAAAGAGAAACGAGAAACAAAUCUUCUAUAUCUUCAUCACACCUCUAUUACUGAAGGAAAAGUUAUGUGUCCAGAUCUAGGAGCUAUGAUCAUAAACUUAACUUCUCGUCAUUGUGUGAGCAUCAACGCUGAAAUUACAACUCUCAAGGAUAGUCUUUGCCAAGAUAUAAUUCUCCAAAGUCAUCUUUAUAUCCUUGAUGCAUGAUCACCUAUCCAUAAAGCCCCAUCCAAGUUUUUUUAUGAAAUAGGAGGGGUCUUGUCCCUAGCUUCAUGUAUAUUUCUGACAAAAUUGGUAUGGUCAUUUGAAACUCUUGAUGUGCACAUGAGAGGCUAGCGACAAGUCUUUUGAGCAUGCCAUAAACAAAGGUGGAAAGAAGGAAAGGGAUGGACGGACACGGGAAUACCAGCGUCAGAAGGUCCGUUGGGGUUCAAGUCGUCACACUUUGAAAGGGAAAUGUGCCCUUAGUCUAUUUCUAGUUGUUUUGGUGAUUAAAUGUUCAACACAACACAUUGGACUAACCACUUUGAUAUGAGAAUGAGUACAGGUGCAUAAAGGGCAAGUUGAAGAUAUCAAGUCCAUACGAGCUGAAUCGAAGGGCCAAAAGUGCAACUUGGAGCAAACCAACAUAAACAUGAGGUUUAAGUGUUUGAAUAAGUUGCACACACCCUACUCCAUGUUUCUAGCACUUUGUUUUGACCACUAACUCUAUUUUGCAAGAAAAGUGCAUUUUGAAUUUGGUCUUGGACAUAUUGCAAACUCUAUGAAAUGGAGAUGAAAAAGGUAUGGUCCCAACACUUAGUAAUUUGUUUUAUGUGCUAACUAUGUUUGUUUUAGUGUUAGGGAACCUCCAAAGAAGAGCCAAAAGAAAUUGGAGGAGUUUGGCUCAAAAGAGCCAAACGUGGGCCAGUCUGUGAGUCACCAGACUGUCCGGUGGUGCACCAGACUGUUCGGUGCCGCGUAUGGAUGAAGUUUGCAGCCUCAGAAAUUUUAAUUAUAAAAUUCACCGAACUAUCCGGUGUGCAUUGGACAGGGGCUCCAACGGCUCUCUCCGCCCGCCGCGUCCGCUGGCACCAACGACUAGCUGGCGUGGCAUCUGUCCGGUGGGGCACCGGACUAUCUGGUGCCACGUUGAAAAGGAAGUCGGCCAAUCAGAUCGUCGCCUAACCAUUGCUGAUCGCAUUUCGAGUGGUUCAUCGGACUGUCCGAUGCACCCGCAUACAUGGAAACUUUUCAGUUGUCUUGUGAAGACUCCAAAGGUUCCUAUGUCUCUUGGGACUAUAAAAUGGACUAUUGAUUUAGAUUUAGUGGUAUUUUGGUUUAUUUUUAUUAAUCGCAUAACUGGUAAAGGAAUACUUAGGGCAUGUUUUAGAAUACUGAUUUUCAUAUCCAUAGUUUAUAAUAUCAUAGUUUACCAAGUACUUCCUCCAUUCUUUUUUAUUUAUCGCGUUUUAGUUAAAAAAUGAACUAGCCGGUGAUAAAUAUUCGAGAACGGAGGUAGUACCAUGACAUAAAUAUAGUAUGUUUUAUAUUAAUUUAAUCCAACACAUGUUUGGAGACAUAGUAUCAUGUUUGCAAUGUAGGAGUGGAGGAGAAAGCCAAAGUUUUUAAAGUCCUAAAAAUAUUAUGGUGUUGGUGAAACCAUAAUUUGAAAUACAGAGUUUAUAGAUAACAUAUAUGCUUAUAGAUAAUAUAUAUGCUUAAAUAUCACAAUAUUAUCUUGGACUAGAAAAACAAUGUGUUUCUAAACAGGCCCUUAGGUGUUUGAAUGACGAUAAAAAUUCUUAGAUCAUAUUGUCCAAGAAAACUUUUAGGAUUCAAAAUCGUCCUAAAAAACUUAAUGUCUUAGUAGCUCUUUAAAGUAGACUAGGCCUAUAUUACCUUGGGAUUGUGGUAUUCAUGGCUUCAUGCAUUCCUUAUAUUGCUACUGUUUUCAUUUAUGUAAAAUAUUUAUGGCUAGUUGAUUGUGAACGUGGGUUUAGAACCAACAAUUAUAGUUCGAAUCUCCAUUUAUACAUAGUUUUAUUAUUUGCUCGUCACCAACAUUAUUUUUCUCGCUCAACGAAAAGGUCAUAUCUUUGUAAUCCAUACAAUGCAUUGCUUUCAAGCAGGUGAAGCAAAGCAAAGCCAAUAAUGAUUCAUUCAUUCAGUAGGAGAAAGGAGAUGAGAUCUCAUACAUAGUUGAUUCAGAGUACAGACAUAAGACAUCAUCAGAAAUUCAUAAUGCAGCAGCCUAUGACCAGGCCCUUCUCUUGAGUCAGUGACCCCCCUUCCUCGCGCAAGCAGGCUGACAAAUGUUGGAACACUAGCCCCACAGUGGCUGGCUGUCUGACGCAAACACCACUCGAGAAGUCCGAGAUGCAUCGCACCCGGCCUCUUUUAUUUUGGGAUCGCCGCAGCCAGCAGAAUUAUUAUUAGGGUACCAGCUAGUAGUUUCUUUCGUUCGUUCCUGCAAACGCAAGCAACAACAACGAGAGUCAGCAAUGGUGGUUGUAUUGUACUAGAGAGUCAUUAGUAGGUUAGGUGGAACUGGAAGAGGGCAAACCGCAAAGGCACAGUGAGUAGUUGACUUACACCAAGGGAGGAUCUUCCAGCGCUGGUUGUCGCCCUCGCACCACUUCCAGAGCACGAUCUCGGUACCGUCAUGGACGCCGCCGUGGGCCUUGUCGCCGUGGAAGGCGUCGAAGUUGAGGUAGAUGUUGUUGACCAUGCGGACGCAGCGGAAGCCGUUGCCGACGUCGCGGCUCUCGGUCCAGAGCACGGACUCGUCCUGGUAGUCCGGGUUGUAGGGCACGAGCUUGACGGGGUGGCCCUGCCCCGUGGAGUGCUUGAGCGCCUCGCCGGUGACCUUGUUGACGAGCGCGAAGGCCGGGUAGCCCUCCUC